This 503-nucleotide ribosomal RNA is filed under the name uncultured bacterium. RNAcentral describes it as "partial 16S ribosomal RNA". It matches the Rfam family "Bacterial small subunit ribosomal RNA", at positions 30 to 523 of the family's 1533-position model. The record is from RNAcentral.
AUUGAACGCUGGCGGCAGGCUUAACACAUGCAAGUCGAGCGGGGUGAUGGUGCUUGCACUAUCACUUAGCGGCGGACGGGGGAGUAAUGCUUAGGAAUCUGCCUAUUAGUGGGGGACAACAUCUCGAAAGGGAUGCUAAUACCGCAUACGUCCUACGGGAGAAAGCAGGGGAUCACUUGUGACCUUGCGCUAAUAGAUGAGCCUAAGUCGGAUUAGCUAGUUGGUGGGGUAAAGGCCUACCAAGGCGACGAUCUGUAGAGGGUCUGAGAGGAUGAUCCGCCACACUGGGACUGAGAAACGGCCCAGACUCCUACGGGAGGCAGCAGUGGGGAAAAUUGGACAAUGGGGGGAACCCUGAUCCAGCCAUGCCGCGUGUGUGAAGAAGGCCUUAUGGUUGUAAAGCACUUUAAGCGAGGAGGAGGCUCUUUUGGUUAAUACCCAAGAUGAGUGGAAGUUACUCGCAGAAUAUGCACCGGCUAACUCUGUGCCAGCCGCCGCCGUAA